This is a long non-coding RNA of Oryctolagus cuniculus (rabbit), 1948 nucleotides long. Lineage: Eukaryota; Metazoa; Chordata; Mammalia; Lagomorpha; Leporidae. The record is from Ensembl.
AUGAAACCCCAGACUGGUGGCUGGCCUGGGCCCCCACCUAGGCCAGGGUCACCAGGAACAGUGGCUGUACACCCUGGGGUGAGCUGCGCGAGACCAGGGACAGUGGCUGUACACCCUGGGGUGAGCUGCGCGAGACCAGGGACAGUGGCUGUACACCCUGGGGUGAGCUGCGCGAGACCAGGGACAGUGGCUGUACACCCUGGGGUGAGCUGCGCGAGACCAGGGACAGUGGCUGUACACCCUGGGGUGAGCUGCGCGAGACCAGGGACAGUGGCUGUACACCCUGAGGUGAACUGCACGAGACCAGGGACAGUGGCUGUACACCCUGGGGUGAGCUGCACGAGACCAGGGACAGUGGCUGUACACCCUGGGGUGAACUACGCAAGACCAGGGAGUGAGAUCCCACCUCCGUGGCGAAGACGCCACGGUGGAGGCCAAGCUGUGGCUGGGGCUGUUCCCAGGGGAGACACAGCCACAGCCUCGCCUGCCAGGGCCAGAGUGUGGCGUGUCCAGCUCUGGACGCAGCUGUGGGACAUCGGGGUCCCGACUUGUCUGUGGUGGGGCCACCCACAGGGCAGCGGCCGGCUGGCUAGGACGCUGCCCUUCUCUCCCUCACUAGCAGAGAGCAGGCUUGUGCACUGGGGAAAGCUAAGCUCGGCCAGGGAGAGCUGGUGGCCAGCCCGGCCGCCCUGGCACAGCUUGGUGACAGCUCAGAGCCCUCAGCCCUGCAGCGUUGCACACAGACCUCUCGGCAGUCGCUCAGCCGCGUGUGGACAGCCCCGAGGACACCUGCACCUGGCCUGGUGCGUGGUCUUCCUCUGCCUGCAGGGCCGCAGCGUACAGAGGACGCCUGGCCAGCUGCUGGCACGGCUUGACUGCCUCGGGGGCGGACGUGCAGCCCCACGGAGGGCAGCUCCUGGAGACAAAAGGCCACGGUCUCCCUGCUGACGCAGUGCACGGUCAGCAGGUUUGGGGCCCACAGCUGUGGCCCUGAGGGCGGCUGUCGCUGUGCUGCCCCUCGUGCCAGACGGGCAGAGUGGGCAUUGGGGGUCUUGGAGGGAAGUUGCUUUUGGGGAUCUCAUCUUCAGGCUCUGUGCUGCCACGGGCCCUCCUGGGGUCCCAGAGCCCCCUGUGUCUGGGGUCAGCAUGGUUUUCUUGUGAGCCUACAGGUGCACUGCUCCUCUGUGGACACUGAGGGCUGGCCCGUGCAGGCUGUCACUGCCAUGCAGUUGCCACCUCCUCGGAGGACAGUGUCGUCGGGGGCUUGGACUCUGCUUGCCUGCUGCUGGGCCGCAGGUCCUCUAUGGCAGGGCAGACCCCCAACCUGGGCCCUGGGCCCUGACCCGUGUCCUUGGUGCUUUGUCCCUGUCUCCUGGGCGUGCUGUCCACCAGCGAGGCACAUCCUACAGCAGUGUGUGACGCUUCCAGGAGGUCACCUCUGGCUGGGCAGGGGGAAAGGGCCGGCAGAGUCCAAGGGGCAGGGGAGGCUGGGGAAGGAGGCUUGGGGUAGGUUCUGGGUGGACCCAGGGACACUGGGGAGGGGCCACCGUUGAGCCUGGGCUUUCUGUCUUAGAGGGAGCUUGUCAAGGACAGCAAAGGGUGGGGCCGGCAUCCCAGUGCAGAGGGUUACGCUGCAGCCUGCAGUGCCAGCAUCCCACAUGAGCCCUGGUUUGAAUCCCGGCUGCUCCACUUCUGAUCCAGCUCCCUGCUAGUGCAGCUGGGAGAGCAGCAGCAGGUGACCAAGUGCUUGAGCCCCUGCACCCAGGUGAGAUACCCAGGUGGAAAUCUAGGCCCCUACCUUUGACCUGACCCAGCUCCAGCCAUUGUGGCUGUCGGGGAGGGAACUAGUGGAUGGAAGAUCUUUCUUUCCUUGUAAUUCUGCCUUUUAAAUCAAUCUUAAAAAAGAAAAAUGAGAGCAGAGGUGGAGAGGUGGUGGUCACACAGAGUG